GUUUGGAUCUAUCUGGCCUCAUCUUUCCGGAAAAGGGAGAAGAAAGUUGGUUUCCCCACCCACAUCUGGUUUCCUAUCUUUAAGUCUGGAUCCAGUGUUGCUGUGCUGUCAUCAGAGCUGGAACACUUUGAUGCUUCCCCUUGACGUGAGUGUUUGGAUCUGAGAAGAAAAUAUACAGAGGAUGCUGAUGGAGACCUGAUGUGCUGUUUGAUUUCUGAAAUGGGAGAAGAUCGGCAGAGAGUGGGAAGAAUGCAGAGGAGCAAAGAAGGGAACACAUUCAUAACUCUGGAACUAUUAAUGUCAACAAAGAACAUAUGGAACCAGGCACUUCUGGGGCUACUGUUUGAUACUUCUGUGCUGAAUCAGAAGUGAGAGUUCUACAUGCUCACCAUAAUAUCCUGACUGAUCUUGGGUUUCUCAACAUUGGCUGUGUGGACUAGCGCGGAACUGGGGUCAGCAGACUUGAGAAUUGAUGGGCUUGUGAGAUCUGACUUGAUGUAACUGAACAGAACAAAAAAAAAAGAAUGUCAGGCAAGGGUGAGCUUCUAGGUUUCUCUGGGAUUGCAAAAGUGAGG
Molecule: long non-coding RNA, 575 nt
Organism: Elgaria multicarinata webbii
Lineage: Eukaryota; Metazoa; Chordata; Lepidosauria; Squamata; Anguidae
Exons: 3
Source: RefSeq, a predicted model, not a curated record